Molecule: ribosomal RNA, 59 nt
Filed under: Trichosporon lactis
Lineage: Eukaryota; Fungi; Basidiomycota; Tremellomycetes; Trichosporonales; Trichosporonaceae
Description: partial 28S ribosomal RNA
Rfam family: Eukaryotic large subunit ribosomal RNA
Source: RNAcentral
CUCUGGCCUGAAAUCAGGUAGGACUACCCGCUGAACUUAAGCAUAUCAAUAAGCGGAGG